UACGUAGGGAGCAAGCGUUGUCCGGAUUUACUGGGUGUAAAGGGUGAGUAGGCGGCUUUGCAAGUCAGAAGUGAAAUCCAUGGGCUUAACCCAUGAACUGCUUUUGAAACUGCAGAGCUUGAGUGGAGUAGAGGUAGGCGGAAUUCCCGGUGUAGCGGUGAAAUGCGUAGAGAUCGGGAGGAGCACCAGUGGCGAAGGCGGCCUGCUGGACUGAAACUGACGCUGAGGCACGAAAGCGUGGGGAGCGAACAGG
This 253-nucleotide ribosomal RNA is filed under the name uncultured bacterium. Its description in RNAcentral is "partial 16S ribosomal RNA". It matches the Rfam family "Bacterial small subunit ribosomal RNA", at positions 524 to 776 of the family's 1533-position model. The record is from RNAcentral.